Molecule: ribosomal RNA, 301 nt
Filed under: uncultured bacterium
Lineage: Bacteria
Description: partial 16S ribosomal RNA
Rfam family: Bacterial small subunit ribosomal RNA
Source: RNAcentral
CAGUCGCCACGGGAAUACGUAGGUGGCGAGCGUUGUCCGGAAUUAUUGGGCGUAAAGGGAGCGCAGGCGGACAUAUAAGUCCAUCUUAAAAGUGCGGGGCUCAACCCCGUGAGGGGAUGGAAACUGUAUGCCUUGAGUGCAGGAGAGGAAAGCGGAAUUCCCAGUGUAGCGGUGAAAUGCGUAGAUAUUGGGAGGAACACCAGUGGCGAAGGCGGCUUUCUGGACUGUAACUGACGCUGAGGCUCGAAAGCCAGGGGAGCGAACGGGAUUAGAUACCCCCGUAGUCCCUGUCUCUUAUACA